RNAcentral lists this long non-coding RNA (272 nucleotides) under Homo sapiens (human). RNAcentral describes it as "HSALNT0304411". Lineage: Eukaryota; Metazoa; Chordata; Mammalia; Primates; Hominidae. The record is from RNAcentral.
UUGUCUCAUUUCUCCUGUCUCCUCAUUAGCACUAAGCCUCAUGACCUCAGCUGUCUGGAAAGAAGACCAAGAUGUAAGCACACCUGAGCAGAUCCUUUUCCAAGUAUCCUGAUGUCUCCAAGGGCUGUUCAGAUUCCAAAGAGAACUAUCUACAAGUUAAUCUCUGUUACUGGAGUCAUUCAUUCUCCGUAGUAAUCUGCUCCACAGAAUUCCUCUUCUCUUCCCUCCCAUAACCUGUUUUACCAGGAUCCAAGCCUCCAUUCUUUCUGUAA